This 253-nucleotide ribosomal RNA is filed under the name uncultured bacterium. RNAcentral describes it as "partial 16S ribosomal RNA". It matches the Rfam family "Bacterial small subunit ribosomal RNA", at positions 524 to 776 of the family's 1533-position model. The record is from RNAcentral.
UACGUAGGUGGCAAGCGUUGUCCGGAUUUACUGGGCGUAAAGAGCGCGCAGGCGGUUGUUCAAGUCGAAUGUGAAAGCCCCCGGCUCAACUGGGGAGGGUCAUUCGAUACUGUUCGACUCGAAGGCAGGAGAGGGAAGUGGAAUUCCGGGUGUAGUGGUGAAAUGCGUAGAUAUCCGGAGGAACACCAGUGGCGAAGGCGACUUUCUGGCCUGUUCUUGACGCUGAGGCGCGAAAGCUAGGGGAGCAAACGGG